ACAGCCAGUUUUACUGUUGCUUUUUUUAAUCUCUGCAGAUGACAACCCAAAGAAAAGAUUCAAAAAGGAGGUGAACCUACCUGUACCUCCACUUUUAUCAGUCUGUUUUUACACAAGUGUCUAUACUUUUAAUUAAGUGCACAGUACUUUUGCCACCUGUGGCAGCGUCUGGGGGCACCUAGGCCUAAAUUGCAUAAGACUUAUUUGGCACAUCAUGUGUUGCUCAAAACCUCAAGCAGAAUCUCUCAUUGCAUUGUGGCCAAUGGUACACUGGGUAUUGCACACGUUAGUAUUGCAAAAUAGGGAUAAAUAUUCCUUGCGGCAAAUGGUGGAUGGGUUAUCUUGCAUGCUUCUUGGGAGCUAGUUGCAGAGGCCAUAGAUAUAUAACAGAUAGUGUUUGGCUUCUUCAUUUUAACUCAUUUAAUUUUUGAUCGAUUUUGACAUGGAUUGGGUUGUUACAAACAUCAGAUGUGCAGCUAUGAUGCAAGCUAUCUGUCAAUUUAUAAUUGGGAUUUUAACUAAGAUACCAUCGCAGGACUGCCACUUCAACGGGGCAGUAAAGGCUGUAUGUAUUGUUAUCUAUGCAGAGGGUCAUCUGAAUCAUGCGUGUUAGUUUUAGGCUGAAGUAAUUUAGGGUGACCAGACGUCCUCUUUUUCCCGGACAUGUCCUACUUUUAAGACCUAAAAAAAUGUCCGAGGGGAAUUUCAAAAUCGUCCGGGAUUUUGUUGGACUGCCUCAAACAUAAUACAUGUACAGUACAUUGUCAAUAGAAUUGCCACUCCGUUCCAUUUCACUCAAUUCUAGGUUUUUCUGUAUCGUUCGCAAAUAAGUCACGCCCUCCAACUCAAAUCUAGUCACUUUGCUGCGAAGUAGGGUGGGCUGGCCAGUCUACACCAAGUGUUUACAAGCGAUGCCUAAACAAAAAUGCACGUUCACGGAGGGGUUGAAUAAAAAAAUUCCCGUGCUUUCGCCAGGGUUGUGAUCCUUAUGAAGACAAACUCAGUACUUCUAGCGAACAGAAUUGAGGUGGUACAACUUAACUGGUUUAUAGUAGUACAAAGGAGUCUUAGGGCAUAAGCAUAGGUGGCGCUGUCCAACUUAUCGUCAGAGUAAAAAAAAAAAAAAACAUGCUUGACAUGCAAGACAGGCACUUACGUGUCUGUGGCAAAUAAUGGU
Molecule: long non-coding RNA, 1177 nt
Organism: Syngnathus acus (greater pipefish)
Lineage: Eukaryota; Metazoa; Chordata; Actinopteri; Syngnathiformes; Syngnathidae
Exons: 2
Source: RefSeq, a predicted model, not a curated record